Molecule: ribosomal RNA, 516 nt
Filed under: Salmonella enterica subsp. enterica serovar Virchow
Lineage: Bacteria; Pseudomonadati; Pseudomonadota; Gammaproteobacteria; Enterobacterales; Enterobacteriaceae
Also listed under: 1 other name
Description: bacterial SSU rRNA
Rfam family: Bacterial small subunit ribosomal RNA
Source: RNAcentral
AUGAGAAUGUGCCUUCGGGAACCGUGAGACAGGUGCUGCAUGGCUGUCGUCAGCUCGUGUUGUGAAAUGUUGGGUUAAGUCCCGCAACGAGCGCAACCCUUAUCCUUUGUUGCCAGCGAUUAGGUCGGGAACUCAAAGGAGACUGCCAGUGAUAAACUGGAGGAAGGUGGGGAUGACGUCAAGUCAUCAUGGCCCUUACGACCAGGGCUACACACGUGCUACAAUGGCGCAUACAAAGAGAAGCGACCUCGCGAGAGCAAGCGGACCUCAUAAAGUGCGUCGUAGUCCGGAUUGGAGUCUGCAACUCGACUCCAUGAAGUCGGAAUCGCUAGUAAUCGUGGAUCAGAAUGCCACGGUGAAUACGUUCCCGGGCCUUGUACACACCGCCCGUCACACCAUGGGAGUGGGUUGCAAAAGAAGUAGGUAGCUUAACCUUCGGGAGGGCGCUUACCACUUUGUGAUUCAUGACUGGGGUGAAGUCGUAACAAGGUAACCGUAGGGGAACCUGCGGUUGGA